Long non-coding RNA from Larimichthys crocea (large yellow croaker), 262 nucleotides. RefSeq lists it as uncharacterized. Lineage: Eukaryota; Metazoa; Chordata; Actinopteri; Sciaenidae. The transcript is spliced from 2 exons. The record is from RefSeq and is a predicted model, not a curated record.
UGACAUGACUUACACUGAAGAAAUCCAAAUGAGUUUCCCACUUGAAAAUCCUGAUGAGGACUCAGAAACAUUCACAGCCACAGAAGUUGUAGAUAUAACAGGCAUAGAAGAUGAAGCUAUAACGGGCACAGAAGGGACAUUUAACAUCUUGAUAAAAAGACUGCAAUCCAAUUGGCAAGCUAUUUUAAUCGGGAUUUUGAUAGUGCUUUUGUGUGGCGUGACCAGUGCCCUCUUCAAUAAACAGCAAUUUCUGAUUGCAAAA